Molecule: ribosomal RNA, 441 nt
Filed under: uncultured bacterium
Lineage: Bacteria
Description: partial 16S ribosomal RNA
Rfam family: Bacterial small subunit ribosomal RNA
Source: RNAcentral
CCUACGGGAGGCUGCAGUAGGGAAUUUUGCGCAAUGGGGGAAACCCUGACGCAGCAACGCCGCGUGAUCGAUGAAGCCCUUCGGGGUGUAAAGAUCUGUCAGUGGGGACGAAACCUGACGGUACCCACAGAGGAAGCACCGGAGAACUCCGUGCCAGCAGCCGCGGUAAUACGGGGGGUGCAAGCGUAGCCCGGAAUCAUUGGGCGGAAAGAGUUCGUAGGUGGCACGGUAAGUCCGGUGUUAAAGGCGGAAGCUCAACUUCCGUAGGGCACUGGAUACUGGCGAGCUUGAAUGCGGUAGGGGUAAAGGGAAUUCCUGGUGUAGCGGUGAAAGGCGUAGAUAUCAGGAGGAACAUCGGUGGCGUAGGCGCUUUACUGGGCCGUAAUUGACACUGAGGAACGAAAGCCGGGGUAGCAAAUGGGAUAUGAUACCCUGGUAGUC